CCUACGGGAGGCAGCAGUAAGGAAUAUUGGUCAAUGGACGCAAGUCUGAACCAGCCAUGCCGCGUGAAGGAUGAAGGUCCUCUGGAUUGUAAACUUCUUUUAUAGGGGACGAAAAAAGGGAAUUCUUUCUCGUCUGACGGUACCCUAGGAAUAAGCACCGGCUAACUCCGUGCCAGCAGCCGCGGUAAUACGGAGGGUGCAAGCGUUAUCCGGAUUUACUGGGUUUAAAGGGUGCGUAGGUGGGUCUGUAAGUCAGUGGUGAAAUCUCCGGGCUUAACCCGGAAACUGCCAUUGAUACUAUAGGUCUUGAAUACUCUGGAGGUAAGCGGAAUAUGUCAUGUAGCGGUGAAAUGCUUAGAUAUGACAUAGAACACCAAUUGCGAAGGCAGCUUACUACGGGGUCAUUGACACUGAGGCACGAAAGCGUGGGGAUCAAACAGGAUUAGAUACCCUGGUAGUCCACGCCCUAAACGAUGGAUACUCGACAUCAGCGAUACACUGUUGGUGUCUGAGCGAAAGCAUUAAGUAUCCCACCUGGGAAGUACGAUCGCAAGAUUGAAACUCAAAUGAAUUGACCGGNGUGAGAGUAGACGACGACGACGACGAGGGAGGAGG
Molecule: ribosomal RNA, 615 nt
Filed under: uncultured bacterium
Lineage: Bacteria
Description: bacterial SSU rRNA
Rfam family: Bacterial small subunit ribosomal RNA
Source: RNAcentral